UGACGGAGAGUUUGAUCCUGGCUCAGGGCGAACGCUGGCGGCGUGCCUUAGACAUGCAAGUCGAGCGGUAGGCGUCCUUCGGGGCGCCGAGAGCGGCGAACGGCGGAGUAACACGUGGGUAACCUGCCCCGAAGACUGGGACAACCCGGGGAAACUCGGGACAAUACCGGAUGUGGAUGCGUGGGCUUCGGCUUGGGCAUCUAAAUGGGUUUCCGCUUCGGGAUGGGCCCGCGGCCUAUCAGGUUGUUGGUGAGGUAACGGCUCACCAAGCCGACGACGGGUAGCCGGUCUGAGAGGAUGAUCGGCCCGAGGGGCACUGAGACACGGGCCCCACUCCUACGGGAGGCAGCAGUCGGGAAUUUUGGGCAAUGGGCGCAAGCCUGACCCAGCGACGCCGCGUGGAGGACGAAGCCCUUCGGGGUGUAAACUCCUUUUAGUGGGGACGAACGCAGACGGUACCCACAGAAAAAGCCCCGGCUAACUACGUGCCAGCAGCCGCGGUAAUACGUAGGGGGCGAGCGUUGCCCGAAUUUACUGGGCGUAAAGCGCACGUAGGCGGCUUCGUAAGUCUGGUGUGAAAUCUCACGGCUCAACCGGGAGGCUGCACCAGAUACUGCGAAGCUCGAGGACGGGAGAGGAGAUCGGAAUUCCCGGUGUAGCGGUGAAAUGCAUUGAUAUCGGGAGGAACACCAGUGGCGAAGGCGGAUCUCUGGCCCGUUGCUGACGCUGAGGUGCGAAAGCUGGGGGAGCGAAAGGGAUUAGAUACCCCUGUAGUCCCAGCCCUAAACGAUGGGCGCUAGGUGUUGGGGGAUUAACCCUCGGCGCCGGAGCUAACGCAUUAAGCGCCCCGCCUGGGGAGUACGGCCGCAAGGUUGAAACUCAAAGGAAUUGACGGGGGCCCGCACAAGCGGUGGAGCA
RNAcentral lists this ribosomal RNA (918 nucleotides) under Armatimonadota bacterium. Its description in RNAcentral is "bacterial SSU rRNA". It matches the Rfam family "Bacterial small subunit ribosomal RNA", at positions 1 to 939 of the family's 1533-position model. Lineage: Bacteria; Bacillati; Armatimonadota. The record is from RNAcentral.